GCUGUUGCGAUACAAACAAAACAAACAAUUUUUAUUGCGAAAACAUCUAAAUUUUUGUUUUAUAAAAUGCUACUGGCACCAGCUGUCCAAUCUCUGCCCACCCUACACCAGCCGCUCCACUCGAAGGUAUCCAAUUACCUCAACAAUCAGCGACGCACGGGCCAGUUCUGUGAUUUGCUGCUGGAAUUGGAUUCGGACGAGGCGUUGAGCCUCAGCGUGCACUUUUGUGUCCUGGCCGCUCAGAGUAAGCUCAUUGGCACCAACCAAAAGCAGCAGCAGUUCUCCAUACACAAUCCGCUGAAGAUAACCAUUCGCAAUUUCGCCUGCACUCAAUGCCUGCACACAAUUGUGGACUUUUUUUACGAGGACAUUGUGUCCGUUUCCAAGGAGCAUGAGGAGCAUUUCCGGGAGCUGGCUAAGAUAUUGGCCGUGACGGAGCUCUUAAACUUGUACCAGAUGCAGCCCGUGGACGAGGUUAGAGACACAUGCGAGGCGACGACCUCCGGAGAGGCUGAGGUAAACCUGGAAACCACAAAGAAACCCGAAGAUCUAUUUGAGAAUCAACAGAGCUUCUUCAAGCUGAAGAAUCCCCGGGCAGUAAAAUCCAGCAGCAAGGUUAACUAUUGUAUUGGCUGUGACUUCAAAUGCUACCAAGUGCAGAAGAUGAUUGAGCACAUGAGCAGCUGUGAGCCCUCGCAUCUAACCUGUUCCCUGUGCGAGGUCGGCUUCCUGGACUGGCGAGAGCAUGACAAGCAUCUUCGCCGCCACUCUGGAGAUCUGCGCAAGCCCUUCUUUUGCCUAGAAUGCGGGAUUCACUUUACCACCAGAGCUGCUCUCCUGGUACACCAGCCCAAGCACUCUACGGAAACGCCGCACAUCUGUCCGCACUGUGGGAAGGGCUUCAAGUGGAAACAGGGCCUCAGUAAUCACAUUUUAGUCCACAAUCCGGAGAAGCAAAUGCUCUGCGAUGUGUGCGGCUAUAGCACCACCCAUAUGAAGGCACUCAAGUCGCACAAAUUGCUCCACACGGGCGAAUUCUUCGCCUGCACCGUGUCGGGCUGUAAGCAUCGGGCCAAUCGCAAGGAGAACUUGAAGCUGCACAUAGAGACGCAUAAGCAGGGACGGGACUUUAUUUGCGAAAUAUGCGGAUGCAAGUUUAGCCAGAGCAAGAACCUCAAGCGACAUGCUCUCAAGCACACGGAAAACGGGCUGAAUCGCUACAAAUGCCAGCUGUGUGGCUUUAGUAGUCAUCGAUCCGACAAGAUGAAAGAGCAUGUGCAGCGUGUGCACACCGAGAAGGCGGUGCAGCUGGAACUGUCCGAAUCAGUGGAUAGUUCAUUUGAGAACAAAAUGCCAGAUGAUUUCGACCUCCCCAUGAUCGAAGACACUCUGCCGCCGGGCAAAAAGAAGCAAAGAGAACCCAAAGGUUCCCGCAAGCAGACGGAAGAAAACACUUCAUCAAGCCAGAAGCGCCUGAAAACGCUGCUCCCCAAAGAAAGUUUCAAAUAGGAUAGCGCUUAAAUUGAAAAGUCAAACUGAUUGAUGAUAUUCUGUGAAAGGUUAUAUACUCUACAAUGUAGACUCAAUACUAUCAGGUGGAACUCCACGGCAUCUGCUACCUCAAGUGACUAAUGAACCAUAACCAGAGCAGUAGUUGACAGCACUAUCUUAUCAGACCGAAGGAGGGAUCCGUACGUAACCAGUGUUGUUCAUAAAAAACAAUUAGAGCAAAACCAAUUAAAAGCUUUAUAUCAAAAUAAACAAAAAUGGAUUGGAGUGAGAGAGAACUGGGUCAGCGGAUCGGGUUCUGACAAGCCCACUUCUAUAUGUAGAUAUGUGCGUACGAUCACGUUUCCCGAUCAAAGUCAAAAAUAGUAUUUGAAAUGUAACGGAACGUUUCCGACGAUGAUGCAAUUUGAAUGCACCCUCGGGGUCACAUGAGGGCGGACCAAGGUGGGUGGCAAGCGAAAAGUUUAUAUAACAACCGCUUGCUCGGCCCUACCUGCCCCUCCAGCUGUUUGAAAACGUGUAUAUUAUGAGAAUAUUCUAAAAUAAUUUAAAUAAAUGGACAAGGCAAAAAAAAUA
This 2085-nucleotide unclassified non-coding RNA is filed under the name Drosophila pseudoobscura pseudoobscura. RNAcentral's name for it is "GA19865". Lineage: Eukaryota; Metazoa; Arthropoda; Insecta; Diptera; Drosophilidae. The record is from RNAcentral.